This 375-nucleotide ribosomal RNA is filed under the name uncultured Paracoccaceae bacterium. Its description in RNAcentral is "bacterial SSU rRNA". It matches the Rfam family "Bacterial small subunit ribosomal RNA", at positions 521 to 896 of the family's 1533-position model. Lineage: Bacteria; Pseudomonadati; Pseudomonadota; Alphaproteobacteria; Rhodobacterales; Paracoccaceae. The record is from RNAcentral.
UAAUACGGAGGGGGUUAGCGUUGUUCGGAAUUACUGGGCGUAAAGCGUACGUAGGCGGAUUAGUAAGUUAGAGGUGAAAUCCCGGGGCUCAACCCCGGAACUGCCUUUAAUACUGCUAGUCUUGAGUUCGAGAGAGGCGAGUGGAAUUCCAAGUGUAGAGGUGAAAUUCGUAGAUAUUUGGAGGAACACCAGUGGCGAAGGCGGCUCACUGGCUCGAUACUGACGCUGAGGUACGAAAGUGUGGGGAGCAAACAGGAUUAGAUACCCUGGUAGUCCACACCGUAAACGAUGAAUGCCAGACGUUGGAUAGCAUGCUAUUCAGUGUCACACCUAACGGAGUAAGCAUUCCGCCUGGGGAGUACGGUCGCAAGAUUA